GAUGAACGCUGGCGGCGUGCCUAACACAUGCAAGUCGAACGAGAAGCUAACUUCUGAUUCCUUCGGGGAGAUGAAGUUGGUAGAAGGUGGCGAACGGGUGAGUAACGCGUGGGUAAUCUACCCUGUUAGUGGGGGAUAACCCUCCGAAAGGAGGGCUAAUACCGCAUAAGGUCUUCACCUCUUAAGAAGUAAAGAUCAAAGAUGGCCUCUAUACUAUGCUAUCGCUUCAGGAUGAGCCCGCGUCCUAUUAGUUAGUUGGUGGGGUAAUGGCCUACCAAGACCACAAUGGGUAGCCGGUCUGAGAGGAUGUACGGCCACACUGGAACUGAGAUACGGCCCAGACUCCUACGGGAGGCAGCAGUGGGGAAUAUUGCGCAAUGGGGGAAACCCUGACGCAGCGACGCCGCGUGGAUGAUGAAGGCCUUUGGGUUGUAAAAUCCUGUUCUGGGGGAAGAAACCUUAAGGGUCCAAUAAACCUUUAAGCUGACGGUACC
This 494-nucleotide ribosomal RNA is filed under the name uncultured bacterium. RNAcentral describes it as "bacterial SSU rRNA". It matches the Rfam family "Bacterial small subunit ribosomal RNA", at positions 28 to 479 of the family's 1533-position model. The record is from RNAcentral.